GUGACAUCGCCGGUGUUUGCGGGUGGUUGUUGCUCUCGGGGCCGUGUGGAGUAGGUCUGGACCUGGACUCACGGCUGCUUGGAGCGUCCGCCAUGAGGAGAAGCCAUUCUUUGAGCUGCUAGUUGUAAUUUAAGAAUAGGCCAGGCGUGGUAGCUCAUGCCUGUAAUCCCAGCACUUUGGGAGGCCGAGGCGGGUGGAUCACUUGAGGUCAGGAGUUCGAGACCAGUGUGGCCAACAUGGUGAAACCCCAUCUCAAUGGCUUUUUAACUUUAGCCAUUCUUUGAGCUGCCAGUUGUAAUUUAAGAAUAUAGGCCGGGCGCAGUGGCUCAUGCCUGUAAUCCCAGCACUUUGGGAGGCUGAGUGAGGUGCUGGCGGAGGAGUCCAUAGUAUGUCUGCAGAAAGCGCUAAAUCACCUUCGGGAAAUAUGGGAGCUAAUUGGGAUUCCAGAGGACCAGCGGUUACAAAGAACUGAGGUGGUAAAGAAGCAUAUCAAGGAACUCCUGGAUAUGAUGAUUGCUGAAGAGGAAAGCCUGAAGGAAAGACUCAUCAAAAGCAUAUCCGUCUGUCAGAAAGAGCUG
RNAcentral lists this small RNA (578 nucleotides) under Pongo abelii (Sumatran orangutan). RNAcentral describes it as "processed transcript". The record is from RNAcentral. Lineage: Eukaryota; Metazoa; Chordata; Mammalia; Primates; Hominidae.